CAGUAGCCACGGGAAUACGGAGGGUGCAAGCGUUGUCCGGAUUUAUUGGGUUUAAAGGGUGCGUAGGCGGCUAUUUAAGUCAGCGGUGAAAGACUCCGGCUCAACCGGAGCAGUGCCAUUGAUACUGGAUAGCUUGAGUGUUGGAGGGGUACAUGGAAUUGAUGGUGUAGCGGUGAGAUGCAUAGAUACCAUCAGGAACACCGAUAGCGAAGGCAUUGUACUGGCCAACAACUGACGCUGAGGCACGAAAGCAUGGGGAGCGAACAGGAUUAGAUACCCCGGUAGUCCCUGUCUCUUAUAC
RNAcentral lists this ribosomal RNA (301 nucleotides) under uncultured bacterium. Its description in RNAcentral is "partial 16S ribosomal RNA". It matches the Rfam family "Bacterial small subunit ribosomal RNA", at positions 509 to 807 of the family's 1533-position model. The record is from RNAcentral.